AGUGAACGCUGGCGGUAGGCCUAACACAUGCAAGUCGAACGGCAGCACAGUAAGAGCUUGCUCUUACGGGUGGCGAGUGGCGGACGGGUGAGGAAUACAUCGGAAUCUACUUUUUCGUGGGGGAUAACGUAGGGAAACUUACGCUAAUACCGCAUACGACCUACGGGUUAAAGCAGGGGAUCUUCGGACCUUGCGCGAUUGGUUGAGCCGAUGUCGGAUUAGCUAGUUGGCGGGGUAAAGGCCCACCAAGGCGACGAUCCGUAGCUGGUCUGAGAGGAUGAUCAGCCACACUGGAACUGAGACACGGUCCAGACUCCUACGGGAGGCAGCAGUGGGGAAUAUUGGACAAUGGGCGCAAGCCUGAUCCAGCCAUACCGCGUGGGUGAAGAAGGCCUUCGGGUUGUAAAGCCCUUUUGUUGGGAAAGAAAAGCAGCAGGUUAAUACCCCGCUGUUCUGACGGUACCCAAAGAAUAAGCACCGGCUAACUUCGUG
This 492-nucleotide ribosomal RNA is filed under the name uncultured bacterium. Its description in RNAcentral is "partial 16S ribosomal RNA". It matches the Rfam family "Bacterial small subunit ribosomal RNA", at positions 29 to 507 of the family's 1533-position model. The record is from RNAcentral.